Molecule: ribosomal RNA, 253 nt
Filed under: uncultured bacterium
Lineage: Bacteria
Description: partial 16S ribosomal RNA
Rfam family: Bacterial small subunit ribosomal RNA
Source: RNAcentral
UACGUAGGGUGCGAGCGUUGUCCGGAAUUAUUGGGCGUAAAGAGCUUGUAGGCGGUUUGUCGCGUCUGCUGUGAAAAUCCGGGGCUCAACCCCGGACUUGCAGUGGGUACGGGCAGACUAGAGUGUGGUAGGGGAGACCGGAAUUCCUGGUGUAGCGGUGAAAUGCGCAGAUAUCAGGAGGAACACCGGUGGCGAAGGCGGAUCUCUGGGCCGAUACUGACGCUGAGGAGCGAAAGCGUGGGGAGCGAACAGG